CAUGCGGACAAGGACAGAGCUCAUUUUGGCUUAUUUUGAUGCUGUUUGGUGCACGGACAAGACAAUGUGUACACCCUUUUCCAGUGAUUUGCGUAAGGAGAAUCAUACUGUGCCUGGAUCUCCGACCUAUAACGGGCAAUAGAGGAAAAUAUCUAUUUUGCCAAACAUUGUAUUUCGUUUUUUACGCAUAGGUCAUAUGCUAGACUUACUCUGCGGCGAAUGAUUGUGGAAGUUGUAAAUGAACAAGCACCCUUGACAACGAGACCCUGAAGUCGCUUUUCUGGAUCGGGGCCAACUACUAUCAUCCCGUCGACCUCCCAAACACCAAUGAACUGAACUGGAGGGAGACUAUAAUUAGGUGUUUGGAGAUCGUCGCGUCCCAAUCCAGACAGCAGCCAGACCCAGAGCAAGCUUCUACACCAUCAACCACAGAGAUGUCACGUGAGCCCCCUGCAGACCGAGCGGCACCACCCACAGCGACGAGCAAGCCAGAUCCCGAGGAAAACAGAACAGAGCUUGGCAUCCCCCCGCAUGUAGUGCCCCAAUGUGGUCCUGACCAGGGGUGUGAGCCCGUGACACCAGUGUACGAGGGAACGAAAGCAGAGGACUGGCUGAUCGACUUCGACAGGGACAACUCCCACCUGAUCCCACCCAAUAUCUGAAUCUUCAUAGUUGUUUAAGGACACCAUCAUGUCUAGUCUCCUGUCACUUCCACCACCACAGAGCUCAGCCAGACCUCCAGCCCCAUCGCUUCUGGAUGAUCACAGUCCUGUGCCGUCUCUGGGGAUGCCCCGCCAGGACAUUGAGCCACAGGUCAAGCAACCACCAGUUCCUUUGUUCUGUUUCCUGCCACUCGUCCGUCUCCCUGGUUACCAUCGUUAUUAGUUCAUAUGUGUCAGCUGUGUGUUAGUCAUUAUCCUCAUUAUGUCCACUACUUAAGUUGUACCUUCACCUUCAGUCACUGUCUGAUCUAUGUUGCCUUAUGUUGUGUUUAUCCUGCCUGUCUGCUUGUUUUGAUUCUUGUAAUUAAACCUGGAGUAUUUUGAUCUAUUCGUCUGUCUUCAUCUUUUUGCCUGAACACAACUGUUACAGAGUGAUUGUUUUUACAGUUUUUUGAAAAUGUAAAAAUUCAGAAAGUUUUCUGUGAUGGUUUGUACAGUAUAAACAUUAUGUCUAUGGAAUGUCCCCAUAAAACAUGAAAACCCAAUGUGUGUGUUUUCAUUUGUUUCAUAAGGCUAGACACCUAAUACAAGUUAAAACAUACAGAUGUGAAUGCUUGACCAACAACGCAUUGCAAGUGUGAAAUCCUGUUGUACACUUAAGUGUUCUUGCAUUAUUGUGAGAAAUCUCAGUACUCAAGACAUGAUAGUUACCUUCAGAUGUCUGUGCCACACAGCUAGCAUGUGUUAUAGUCACCUGUCGUUCUAUUAAUUAACUAAUUUAGCCUGUGUAUAUAUACUUCUGGUCUUGUCUUUGUUAAAUGGUUGCUGUUUUGUUCCUGCUACCUGUGAUCUGUUGGAUUUUUUUUAAUUAAAAGACUUCUCAAUGCG
Ctenopharyngodon idella (grass carp) is the source of this 1550-nucleotide long non-coding RNA. RefSeq lists it as uncharacterized. The transcript is spliced from 2 exons. The record is from RefSeq and is a predicted model, not a curated record. Lineage: Eukaryota; Metazoa; Chordata; Actinopteri; Cypriniformes; Xenocyprididae.